AUGACAAAAGACGAGACUCUACUAGCUUCAACCAUUCCUGGGGCCUGCCAAUUAGUCAACCAUAGACAUAUUUUAGUUAAUGGUCGUAUAGUCAAUAUACCAAGUUUUCGUUGCAAACCCCGAGAUAUUAUUACUACGAAAGAUAACCAAAGAUCAAAAGGUCUGGUUCAAAAUUAUAUUGCUUCAUCGGACCCGGGGAAAUUGCCAAAGCAUUUGGCGAUUGACACGUUGGAAUAUAAAGGACUAGUAAAUAAAAUCCUAGAUAGGAAGUGGGUCGGUCUCAAAAUAAAUGAGUUGUUAGUUGUAGAAUAUUACUCUCGUCAGACUUGA
This 330-nucleotide ribosomal RNA is filed under the name Triticum aestivum (bread wheat). Its description in RNAcentral is "partial small subunit ribosomal RNA". Lineage: Eukaryota; Viridiplantae; Streptophyta; Magnoliopsida; Poales; Poaceae. The record is from RNAcentral.